ACAGAGAAACAAGUAAAGAAAAUCAUGGCUACUCACAGAAAUAAGUAAAGAAAAUCUUUAGAAAAAAAUUAGGGCUUUUUAACGGAAUUGGGUUAAAAAGAAGUACGAACAUGGAAUCGGUCCAGAUAAACAAGGGAAAAAGGUUUAAUCGUAAAGAAAUAAGUCAAAACAGGUACAGAAAGAACUCCAAAAAAACCUUGUUUGCAAAGGGAGGAAAAACAAUUUAGAGUAGAAUAUAUUUCGGAAGAAAGCUCAAGAAUAAGCAAAUCAAAUAGGCGUAAAGCAUAGAAAUAACAUAGAUCUAAGAGAUUCAGG
RNAcentral lists this long non-coding RNA (315 nucleotides) under Nicotiana benthamiana. RNAcentral describes it as "long non-coding RNA (NBEN_LNC024679)". The record is from RNAcentral. Lineage: Eukaryota; Viridiplantae; Streptophyta; Magnoliopsida; Solanales; Solanaceae.